ACGGAGGGUGCAAGCGUUAAUCGGAAUUACUGGGCGUAAAGCGCACGCAGGCGGUUUGUUAAGUCAGAUGUGAAAUCCCCGGGCUCAACCUGGGAACUGCAUCUGAUACUGGCAAGCUUGAGUCUCGUAGAGGGGGGUAGAAUUCCAGGUGUGCGGGUGAAAGCCGAAGGAAUCUGAGGAAUACCGGUGGCGAAGGCGGCCCCCUGGACGAAGACUGACGCUCAGGUGCGAAAGCGUGGGGAGCAAACAG
Molecule: ribosomal RNA, 250 nt
Filed under: uncultured prokaryote
Description: partial 16S rRNA
Rfam family: Bacterial small subunit ribosomal RNA
Source: RNAcentral